GUGAGGAAUAUUGGUCAAUGGGCGGAAGCCUGAACCAGCCAUCCCGCGUGAAGGAAGGCGGCCCUAUGGGUUGUAAACUUCUUUAGUACAUGAAGAACAGGAUCUACGCGUAGGUUUAUGACGGUAAUGUACAAAAAAGCAUCGGCUAACUCCGUGCCAGCAGCCGCGGUAAUACGGAGGAUGCGAGCGUUAUCCGUAUUCAUUGGGUUUAAAGGGUACGUAGGUGGCCCUGUAAGUCAGUGGUGAAAAUCUGCCGCUUAACGGUAGGGGUGCCAAUGAUACUGCGGGGCUUGAGUACAGUUGAGGUAGGUGGAAUGUGUAGUGUAGCGGUGAAAUGCAUAGAUAUUACACAGAACUCCGAUUGCGAAGGCAUCUUACUAAGCUGAAACUGACACUGAUGUACGAAAGCGUGGGGAUCGAACAGGAUUAGAAACCCGUGUAGUCC
This 445-nucleotide ribosomal RNA is filed under the name uncultured bacterium. RNAcentral describes it as "partial 16S ribosomal RNA". It matches the Rfam family "Bacterial small subunit ribosomal RNA", at positions 354 to 796 of the family's 1533-position model. The record is from RNAcentral.